UGACCGCGGCUGCUGGCACGUAGUUAGCCGGGGCUUUCUGGUGAGGUACCGUCAAGGUGCCGCCCUAUUCGAACGGCACUUGUUCUUCCCUCACAACAGAGCUUUACGAUCCGAAGACCUUCAUCGCUCACGCGGCGUUGCACCGUCAGACUUGCGUCCAUUGCGGAUGAUUCCCUACUGCUGCCUCCCGUAGGAGUCUGGGCCGUGUCUCAGUCCCAGUGUGGCCGAUCACCCUCUCAGGUCGGCUACGCAUCGUCGCCUUGGUGAGCCGUUACCUCACCAACUAACUAAUGCGCCGCGGGCCCAUCUGUGAGUGAUAGCUAGAAGCCAUCUUUGAUCAUCGAACCAUGCGGUUCGAUGCGUUAUCCGGUAUUAGCCCCGGUUUCCCGGAGUUAUCCCCGUCUCACAGGUAGGUUGCCCACGUGUUACUCACCCGUCCGCCGCUCGUUCCACGAGCGUCCACCCCGAAGGGCUUCUGCUCGCUUCCCGCGCUCGACUUGCAUGUAUUAGGCACGCCGCCAGCGUUCGUCCUGAGCCAUGAUCAAACUC
RNAcentral lists this ribosomal RNA (549 nucleotides) under uncultured Bacillota bacterium. RNAcentral's name for it is "uncultured Firmicutes bacterium partial 16S ribosomal RNA". Lineage: Bacteria; Bacillati; Bacillota. The record is from RNAcentral.